This 70-nucleotide transfer RNA is filed under the name Mugil cephalus (flathead mullet). RNAcentral describes it as "tRNA-Pro". It matches the Rfam family "tRNA". From Rfam's summary of the family: Transfer RNA (tRNA) molecules are approximately 80 nucleotides in length. Their secondary structure includes four short double-helical elements and three loops (D, anti-codon, and T loops). Further hydrogen bonds mediate the characteristic L-shaped molecular structure. tRNAs have two regions of fundamental functional importance: the anti-codon, which is responsible for specific mRNA codon recognition, and the 3' end, to which the tRNAs corresponding amino acid is attached (by aminoacyl-tRNA synthetases). tRNAs cope with the degeneracy of the genetic code in two manners: having more than one tRNA (with a specific anti-codon) for a particular amino acid; and 'wobble' base-pairing, i.e. permitting non-standard base-pairing at the 3rd anti-codon position. The record is from RNAcentral. Lineage: Eukaryota; Metazoa; Chordata; Actinopteri; Mugiliformes; Mugilidae.
CAGAGAGUAGUUUAGUGCAAAAUUCUGGCUUUGGGAGCCAGGGAUGGAGGUUAGAAUCCUUCCUUUCUGA